Pogoniulus pusillus (Red-fronted tinkerbird) is the source of this 753-nucleotide long non-coding RNA. RefSeq lists it as uncharacterized. The transcript has 4 exons. The record is from RefSeq and is a predicted model, not a curated record. Lineage: Eukaryota; Metazoa; Chordata; Aves; Piciformes; Lybiidae.
GCUAACUUAGAGGACUGAAUGGAGGCAAGCUCAAGAGCUCACACAGAAGAGAGGAACAAAGCACCAGCAAACAGUGCAAGAGACCCAGAUAAAUCCUUAGAGGACACUUUUUGAGAGGGUUUCUGGAAAUGUGGGCAAGUGCUGUAAGUGGAGUGAUAAAGAACCAAAGACUGUCCAGGGCUGGGUUUUCCACUUGGCUUCUGAGAAGAGUAUUCAUUGAAAGCUAACCUGUCUCCCCCUGUGCUGAAGCUCUUUGACUCUCCAGAGGCUACCAAGCCACUCCUGCCCAUCAGACUAAUCCUGUGGGGGAUGAAGAUUGAGCAGAGCAGCCACACAGGCAUAGUGCUGUGACUCACCUUUGCACCUUCAGCGUCUUAUGCUAAUGAAUGUCUCUGUGCCAGCCAGAGGUAGAUGCUUUGAAGAUGCUGCUGCCUUAGUUGUGGUGCUUAAAGUGGAAGACUGCAUCUUUCCUGUAUCAACAUAAAUUGGCAGGGCUAUCCAGGACCUUGUAUGAGCACAGUCCCAGGUAAAUCUGCAUUCAUAAUCCAAGAUGUUGCUGGGGAUAUUUGUCUGAGAAGAUUGCAUUUAAAACAAUAGAUGGAGACUAGUACACCUCAGAAUCACAGCAUUGUCACAUCCCAUCCUAUCAGUACUUCUCUGAAGCAUUCUAAUGAUGAUAGAACCUCCAGAUGUGCCAAUCCACAGCUUUAGUUCUUUUUUUUCUCCCCCUUCUCCCCUGCCAAACUCCCUCCA